This 492-nucleotide ribosomal RNA is filed under the name uncultured bacterium. Its description in RNAcentral is "partial 16S ribosomal RNA". It matches the Rfam family "Bacterial small subunit ribosomal RNA", at positions 28 to 507 of the family's 1533-position model. The record is from RNAcentral.
GAUGAACGCUAGCUACAGGCUCAACACAUGCAAGUCGAGGGGAAACGGCAUCGAAAGCUUGCUUUUGAUGGGCGUCGACCGGCGCACGGGUGAGUAACGCGUAUCCAACCUGCCCAUCACUUGGGAAUAACCUUGCGAAAGUAAGACUAAUGCCCAAUGACAUCCCACGAAGGCAUCCGAAUGGGAUUAAAGAUUUAUCGGUGAUGGAUGGGGAUGCGUCUGAUUAGCUUGUUGGCGGGGUGACGGCCCACCAAGGCAACGAUCAGUAGGGGUUCUGAGAGGAAGGUCCCCCACAUUGGAACUGAGACACGGUCCAAACUCCUACGGGAGGCAGCAGUGAGGAAUAUUGGUCAAUGGGCGAGAGCCUGAACCAGCCAAGUAGCGUGCAGGAUGACGGCCCUAUGGGUUGUAAACUGCUUUUAUAAGGGAAUAAAGUGGGUCACGUGUGACUUUUUGCAUGUACCUUAUGAAUAAGGACCGGCUAAUUCCGUG